UUUCCAGAGAUGGAGUUGGUGCCGUUCGGGAACUCUGACACAGGUGCUGCAUGGCUGUCGUCAGCUCGUGUCGUGAGAUGGUUAGGGUUAACGUCCCGUAACGAGCGCAACCCUUGUCCUUAGUUACCAGCACGUUAUGGUGGGCACUCUAAGGAGACUGCCGGUGACAAACCGGAGGAAGGUGGGGAUGACGUCAAGUCAUCAUGGCCCUUACGGCCUGGGCUACACACGUGCUACAAUGGUCGGUACAAAGGGUUGCCAAGCCGCGAGGUGGAGCUAAUCCCAUAAAACCGAUCGUAGUCCGGAUCGCAGUCUGCAACUCGACUGCGUGAAGUCGGAAUCGCUAGUAAUCGUGAAUCAGAAUGUCACGGUGAAUACGUUCCCGGGCCUU
Molecule: ribosomal RNA, 391 nt
Filed under: uncultured Pseudomonas sp.
Lineage: Bacteria; Pseudomonadati; Pseudomonadota; Gammaproteobacteria; Pseudomonadales; Pseudomonadaceae
Description: bacterial SSU rRNA
Rfam family: Bacterial small subunit ribosomal RNA
Source: RNAcentral